UAGUCCUGCCCUGCAGUUCCAUAUGCAGUCAGCUGCAGAAUCUCAUAAUUUGUUUCUCCACAUUUUAUUUUAGGGAAAAUUUGUUCAUGCUUCCCAGUUUACGGGAAUGGCACAUGCCUGAGCCAGGUCUCAUGCUGGCAGGCAUCAAAAUCCCUCCAACCUGUGCCUUUCACAUCCACACCUGGCUGGUAAUUGUCUUCCAGGGUGUGAACUAGAUCAUGACCCUGCAUUGGCCUCCUCCCUGCUGUCACUUCCUAGGCUCAGUGGCUCCAGGGAAAUAAAAGUACUCAGGCCAGGGGUUUGUGUCACAGGCUAAACUGGAGGGAGGUAGAGCUUCCUCUACAGACAAAGCUAUGAAGGGUCAAAGCUCCCUAGAUCUGUUUUACUCAUAUUUACUGCUGUUGAACAAGGAGACAGUUCUGAAUUUAGCCUCAGAGGAAAGAGUAAUUAUUUCUUUAUUCAUUCAAACCACCAGCUGGAAAGGUUUUCAGAUUUGAUUGUGUCCUUACAAAUGCUAUGUACCUGUGGGCAGCAUUGUAGGUAAAACCUACUAUCAGUAGAUUUCUCUGGCUUUGUGAGGGGCUCCUCCUUAUCUUUGAAGGUUUGUUAUAUAAAAGGAUGUUAUAUAAAAGUAUUCUGGAAAGAAGAGGUUUUAAGAAACAGUCUAGAGAAAGAGACUGAGAUUUCUGCCUGGAAGGUGUUUGCCAGCAGCCAUUUAUUGACCGAUCCAGGUGAAGAUGAUGAAGCUGGUUACAAUCCAGGUGAAGAUGGUAAAGCUGAUUACAAUCCAGGUGAAGAUGGUAAAGCUGAUUACAAUCCAGGUGAAGAUGGUAAAGCUGAUGAUUAAGCCACUGUAUGUGGUGAAAAGAAGGCAAAGAAGAAGGUAAGAGAGUAGACACAGUGUGGAUUGUGCAUGGAGGGUUGCUGUGUAACUGUGCUGAGAUGAAUGUUCUACACUGCCAUGUUUCCUGAGCAGCUCAACUUGGAUGUGUUGGACCUCCAAGCAUUGUGAGUUACUUUCACCAGGAUAUUUUUUUCUUGCUAUGAAGGAUAAGGCUGAACUUUGCUGUUCUCUCUGUACCUUUGCACUACUGGAACAGGUUGCUGCCCUUCUAAAGAAAAUUGCACCACUUUUAUUACAGCCACCUGGGAAGGUGACAACGAGGUUAUCAAGCAGUCUAGAACUCCUGCAACAGCUCCUUAAACACACUCAGCCAGGGAGGGUUCCUCGAGCUAAUGACACCUGCCUAUACUCACAAAUGAGAGCCCAGCUGUCCCUGAACUAUCCCAUCAGUGACUGCCAGCCCCAGCCUUUCACAGCUGUGAGAGUGAGGGAGGGGAGUGCUUCCAGAGGAGAUAGAGGAAUCAGAGGUGGCUGGACACCAAGGGAAUCUGUGGGUCUCUGGAGAUGUGCCUCCCCAGAGGCAGUGGCUGGACACCAGGAGAAGCUGUGGGUCACUGGAGAUGUGCCUCCCCAGUAGCUGGACACCAGGAGAAGCUGUGUGUCACUGGAGAUGUGCCCCCCCAGAGGCUGCCAGGGCAGCAGCGCUCCUGACCGGAAUGCCGGGAAUGCCGUGAUCCAGAGGUGUGCUCAGGAGGUGAUUCAACACCGCUCUGAUCAUGAUCUUACAAGCAGCUUGGGGAUUUGGUCUUGAUGGUGAGCUGAUUAUUAUUUUAUCUCUUACCAAAUUGCAUAAUUCACAGCAGUCCAAUGUUUGCAUGUUUUCCUUGUAAGCCACCCUUGCUAUUUCGUUAGUAGCUAUGCUAAAAGAGAAAAAUGCCUUUCCCCCCACAAGACUAUUUACUCUCUUUCAUGCAGACUGCUCCCAGCCUUUCUACCUCUCCACAGAACCCCGAGCCCUCUUGAAGGGUUGUAUUUCUGUAAUCACUAAACAAUCCAUUUCAGCUGGAUGCAGAAAACCAUCUUUGAUUUAAAUUCCCCCUGAAGUGACUUAACUAGGCUCCCAGUUGAGAAAACACUUUGAGAGGUGUCUGGAGUGGUUUUCUGAAGUCAGCCACCCAGAUGAGAAAGCCAAAUUUAAAGAUGUUUGUGAGUGUGCACAAUAUGCCCUCACAAGCCCACAGCCACCAGCUGCAGUGAGGGGUUGAUUGCCAGCCUCUGGAUGUGUGAUCUCUACUGGGCACUCUGAAACUCUGAGCAUCUCCCCCACUGCCUGCUGAGGGUUUGGCCUUGCUCUUGCCAAGAAUUUGACUGAAGUAAAUAUGUAAGUAAAUAAAUGGUUGAUGCAGCAGAUCUUUGCACAGUUACCUGGAGUGAAAUUAAGGUUCUGGUUAUUUAAGGGUUUGGUUGUGAUACAGAUUUUUG
Passer domesticus (house sparrow) is the source of this 2326-nucleotide long non-coding RNA. RefSeq lists it as uncharacterized. The record is from RefSeq and is a predicted model, not a curated record. NCBI's taxonomy places the organism in Eukaryota, Metazoa, Chordata, Aves, Passeriformes, Passeridae. The transcript has 4 exons.